AAUGAGCGCUGGCGGCAGGCCUAAAACAUGCAAGUCGAACGCUCUAGCAAUAGAGAGUGGCGCACGGGUGCGUAACACGUGGGAAUAUGCCUUUUGGUACGGAACAACGUUUGGAAACGAACGCUAAUACCGUAUGGUCCCUUCGGGGUAAAGAGUUAUCGCCAAAAGAUUAGCCCGCGCUGGAUUAGCUAGUUGGUGAGGUAAUGGCUCACCAAGGCGACGAUCCAUAGCUGGUCUGAGAGGACGAUCAGCCACACUGGGACUGAGACACGGCCCAGACUCCUACGGGAGGCAGCAGUUAGGAAUAUUGGACAAUGGGCGCAAGCCUGAUCCAGGCAUGCCGCGUGAGUGAUGAAGGCCUUCGGGUUGUAAAGCUCUUUAGCCGAUGAUUAUAAUGACUGUAGUCGGAGAAUAAGCCCCGGCUAACUUCGUGCCAGCCGCCGCCGUAA
RNAcentral lists this ribosomal RNA (449 nucleotides) under uncultured bacterium. Its description in RNAcentral is "partial 16S ribosomal RNA". It matches the Rfam family "Bacterial small subunit ribosomal RNA", at positions 29 to 523 of the family's 1533-position model. The record is from RNAcentral.